RNAcentral lists this ribosomal RNA (216 nucleotides) under Glomeromycotina sp. RNAcentral's name for it is "partial small subunit ribosomal RNA". The stretch from base 44 to 216 matches the Rfam family "Eukaryotic small subunit ribosomal RNA", at positions 690 to 864 of the family's 1831-position model. The record is from RNAcentral. Lineage: Eukaryota; Fungi; Glomeromycota.
GGGUCAGUAGGUUGGUCGUGCCACCGGUACGUACUGGUCUCACUGAUUCCUCCUUCCUGAAGAACCGUAAUGCCAUUAAUUUGGUGUUGCGGGGAAACAGGACUGUUACUUUGAAAAAAUUAGAGUGUUUAAAGCAAGCUAACGCUUGAAUACAUUAGCAUGGAAUAAUGAAAUAGGACGAUCGAUCCUAUUUUGUUGGUCUCUAGGACUGACGUA